RNAcentral lists this ribosomal RNA (376 nucleotides) under uncultured bacterium. RNAcentral's name for it is "bacterial SSU rRNA". It matches the Rfam family "Bacterial small subunit ribosomal RNA", at positions 524 to 898 of the family's 1533-position model. The record is from RNAcentral.
UACGGAGGUUGCAAGCGUUGUUCGGAAUUACUGGGCGUAAAGGGAGCGCAGGCGGUUGGGUAAGUCUGAAGUGGAAGCCCGGGGCUCAACCCCGGAAGUGCUUUGGAUACUGCCUGACUUGAGUACGCGAGAGGAAAGCGGAAUUCCAGGUGUAGCGGUGAAAUGCGUAGAUAUCUGGAGGAACACCGGUGGCGAAAGCGGCUUUCUGGCGCGUUACUGACGCUGAGGCUCGAAAGCGUGGGGAGCAAACGGGAUUAGAUACCCCGGUAGUCCACGCCGUAAACGUUGUGCACUAGGUGUGGGAGGUAUCGACCCCUUCCGUGCCGCAGCUAACGCAUUAAGUGCACCGCCUGGGGAGUACGGUCGCAAGACUGAA